GGAUGUGAGGGCGAUCUGGCUGUGACAUCUGUCACCCCAUUGAUCGCCAGAGUUGAUUCGGCUGAUCUGGGUGGCUAGGCGGGUAUCCCCUUCCUCCCUCAUCUCUCCAUGAGAUGUGUGUCUCUCCUGAAGCUGUGUGCUAGGUCGAAGAGGCCCGGUCUUCGGUGGAGGGUGGAGGGUAUCCGAGUAGCUGCGCUCCCCUGCUAGAACCUCCAAACAAGCUCUCAAGGUCCAAAAUCUCAUCUCAUUAUUAUAUCCGAAAAGAAAAACGUACUUGCUUUAUUUAUUUC
RNAcentral lists this small nuclear RNA (290 nucleotides) under Erinaceus europaeus (western European hedgehog). Its description in RNAcentral is "7SK RNA". It matches the Rfam family "7SK RNA". Rfam says of the family: 7SK was discovered as an abundant small nuclear RNA in the mid-70s but a possible function has only recently been suggested. Two independent studies have found that 7SK RNA binds the CDK9/cyclin T complex (known as elongation factor P-TEFb). Lineage: Eukaryota; Metazoa; Chordata; Mammalia; Eulipotyphla; Erinaceidae. The record is from Rfam by way of RNAcentral.